CGAGACCUCAGGUCAGGCGGGGCUACCCGCUGAAUUUAAGCAUAUCAAUAAGCGGAGGAAAAAGAAACUAACAAGGAUUCCCUUUAGUAACGG
RNAcentral lists this ribosomal RNA (93 nucleotides) under Astragalus peregrinus subsp. warionis. RNAcentral describes it as "partial 26S ribosomal RNA". It matches the Rfam family "Eukaryotic large subunit ribosomal RNA", at positions 1 to 89 of the family's 3401-position model. Lineage: Eukaryota; Viridiplantae; Streptophyta; Magnoliopsida; Fabales; Fabaceae. The record is from RNAcentral.